RNAcentral lists this long non-coding RNA (355 nucleotides) under Gossypium raimondii (Peruvian cotton). Its description in RNAcentral is "long non-coding RNA (GRAI_LNC007383)". The record is from RNAcentral. Lineage: Eukaryota; Viridiplantae; Streptophyta; Magnoliopsida; Malvales; Malvaceae.
AAAGUCAUUGACAAGUCGUAUCUGCUAUCAGUGGAGGUGAGGAGUAGGUAGCUUCGUUAGAAGAGGGAACAACGACCGCCUCAGUAACAGCGUAGGGCUGGACACGGUCGCACAAUGGGUUCGUCAUCGACUCCGCCCAAAGAAGUGUCGCCUAUGUCUACGCAAUAUCCCAAUCAGUUCACUCCACUUAUUCCUAUUCAUUUCACCAACCUCGUGUUUUUUUCACAAGCACUACACUGCGGACCACCACCACACGUGCCCAAUUCUUUUGUUCCCGCAAGUAUAUAUUUCGGGGUACUGACGUCCCCCAAAUUUUAUACCCCCAUGCUGAUCCAAAUGUCUCACCAAAUGCCGA